This 253-nucleotide ribosomal RNA is filed under the name uncultured bacterium. Its description in RNAcentral is "partial 16S ribosomal RNA". It matches the Rfam family "Bacterial small subunit ribosomal RNA", at positions 524 to 776 of the family's 1533-position model. The record is from RNAcentral.
UACGAAGGGGGCUAGCGUUGCUCGGAAUCACUGGGCGUAAAGCGCACGUAGGCGGCUUCUUAAGUCAGGGGUGAAAUCCUGGAGCUCAACUCCAGAACUGCCUCUGAUACUGAGGAGCUCGAGUCCGGGAGAGGUGAGUGGAACUCCGAGUGUAGAGGUGAAAUUCGUAGAUAUUCGGAAGAACACCAGUGGCGAAGGCGGCUCACUGGCCCGGUACUGACGCUGAGGUGCGAAAGCGUGGGGAGCAAACAGG